AGUGAACGCUGGCGGUAGGCCUAACACAUGCAGGUCGAACGGCAGCACAGUAAGAGCUUGCUCUUACGGGUGGCGAGUGGCGGACGGGUGAGGAAUACAUCGGAAUCUACUUUUUCGUGGGGGAUAACGUAGGGAAACUUCCGCUAUACCCCCUUCGACCUUCCGGUGAAAAGCAGGGGUCUUUCGGCCUUGGCCGGAUUAAUUGGCCGAUGUCGGAUUAGCUAGUUGGCGGGGUAAAGGCCCACCAAGGCGACGAUCCGUAGCUGGUCUGAGAGGAUGAUCAGCCACACUGGAACUGAGACACGGUCCAGACUCCUACGGGAGGCAGCAGUGGGGAAUAUUGGACAAUGGGCGCAAGCCUGAUCCAGCCAUACCGCGUGGGUGAAGAAGGCCUUCGGGUUGUAAAGCCCUUUUGUUGGGAAAGAAAAGCAGCAGGUUAAUACCCCGCUGUUCUGACGGUACCCAAAGAAUAAGCACCGGCUAACUUCGUG
Molecule: ribosomal RNA, 491 nt
Filed under: uncultured bacterium
Lineage: Bacteria
Description: partial 16S ribosomal RNA
Rfam family: Bacterial small subunit ribosomal RNA
Source: RNAcentral